This 262-nucleotide ribosomal RNA is filed under the name uncultured archaeon. RNAcentral describes it as "partial 16S ribosomal RNA". It matches the Rfam family "Archaeal small subunit ribosomal RNA", at positions 719 to 982 of the family's 1478-position model. The record is from RNAcentral.
AGUCACUGACAUUAGAUACCCGGGUAGUCCAGGGUGUAAACGCUGCAGACUUGGUGUUGGGGCCCUUUGGGGGCAUUCAGUGCCGGAGAGAAGUUGUUAAGUCUGCUACUUGGGAGUACGUCCGCAAGGAUGAAACUUAAAGGAAUUGGCGGGGGAGCACCGCAACGGGAGGAGCGUGCGGUUUAAUUGGAUUCAACACCGUAAACUCACCAGGGAAGACUGUUACAUGAAGGCCGAGAUGAAGACUCUGCUAGAUUUUCAG